This 207-nucleotide ribosomal RNA is filed under the name uncultured bacterium. RNAcentral describes it as "partial 16S ribosomal RNA". It matches the Rfam family "Bacterial small subunit ribosomal RNA", at positions 568 to 774 of the family's 1533-position model. The record is from RNAcentral.
CUCGUAGGCGGCCUGAUAAGUAGGGGGUGAAAUCCUGUGGCUCAACUGCAGGGCUGCCUCCUAGACUGUCGGGCUCGAGCACGGUAGAGGCAGAUGGAAUUCCCGGUGUAGCGGUGGAAUGCGUAGAGAUCGGGAAGAACAUCGGUGGCGAAGGCGGUCUGCUGGGCCGUUGCUGACGCUGAGGCGCGACAGCGUGGGGAGCAAACA